Molecule: non-coding RNA, 1621 nt
Organism: Pelobates cultripes (western spadefoot toad)
Lineage: Eukaryota; Metazoa; Chordata; Amphibia; Anura; Pelobatidae
Source: the annotation of a GenBank genome assembly
CCAAUUCCAAACAUUUUACCAUUUUAUUGAGAAAAAGAAUAGUACAAACAAAGCAUUAAAUAGCAACAACAUUAUAUUAUGUGUCUCCUUGCUGUAUAAAUUUGGAUACUCUGAUUAGCCACACACACCACUCUUCUCCCUUAAAAGGAAGAUUAAAAAUAAAUAUUUUUAUUGCUAGUUUUGCUUGCUCUCUGCAACCCUACUUAAAAAAAAAAUAAUAAUAAUAAAUUAAAACGUUUGGUGUCAUUAUGCUCUGGAUGACACAACCAAGCUUCAAUACCUUAAAGGGACAGAGCCGGUCUCUAAAGGCUCAGCAGUAUAUAUACACUGACUUUUCUGAGAUAGAGGCAGUGUUUACAUAGCUACCUAAUGUCACCUCUAGUGGCUCACUUUGACAGCCAUUUUAACCACUUCCCGGGCAAGGUUCUGGCAAGACUGCAUGUCUGAUAUUCAGUCUCCACGCUCUGCAAUGACGCAAUGCAUGGAGAUGGUGAGCGGUGCAGAGACUGCUGUGCAUGAGCAUUAGCCCCCAACAAUGCUUUAUUACACUGUGUGUUCUCUGAAAAGGUUUUGAAUUCCCAGUGUAAAGUGACCGCAUCGGUGCACCAAAACCACUGCAUUAAAAUGUAGUGGUUUUGGUGCUUAGAGUGUCCCUUUAAUAAACUCAAAAGAUUUUGUUGGCUCAAGGUUACGUAACUUACACAUUAAUCCUGCCUUAUUUAGCUGAAAAUUGAGUGGACAACAGUGUCUGGUUCAGUCCUAAGUCAUAAUUAAGCAGAGUAGAGCAGUUGCUAAAGCCUGAAUGGCAUGCCCUAAUUAGAAUGCUUAAGUGUCACAUACUAACAACACUGUGUGUAACUCAGUAUUUUAAGGAAAGAUAUACCCUGUUGUAAAGGAUUAUGAACAUCCAAAUGCUGAGUGUAAAACUAUUUAAUACACACACAGCAUGCUGCCACCAUAACUACUACAAUGGGGUUGAUAUGGGCUUAGAGUGCCACUAUAAACUGCACUAUUCUAGUUAGAUUAUGCUUCUUAACCAUUAAGAAGACAAGUUUUGCAAAAAUCACAUGGACACAACUGGUGAUACUAAUUCAACAUUAAAUAAUGUAAUUUUCUGUACCCAUCUUAUAACUUGUCUGUAGGCUCCAUACCUCUCAGGCAUAACCCGAUAGAGGGGAGGGGGAAUAGAAAGGAAAAAAAGAAGUACAUUCUGGAUGAGAUUUCACUCUGGUCCAGGAACAAAUGGUAUGUGAAAGUAAAUUAAGAUGUCAAGCUAUAAUACAUUCACACUUGUAUUGCGAUCCUGAAAACUCAUUUUCUUUUGAUUUUAAUCUUCACCUGCAGAUGAGCAACCUAAAUUUACAUUACUACGCAAGCCUCUAGUUAGAUUGGAAAGUCUUGCAUAAGUCACUGUUUCUUCUUCUUUACUUGUUUUUUCCCUCCUUUUGAAGCAUUGUUGCAGUAUUUUGCUUCCAUUUGAGCCAAGAAACUAUCUGCUUCCUUUUCACGUUCUUUUUGUCUUUUCUGGAAAGUAAAAAAAAAAAAAAAAGCAUUUAUAAGGAGUUUUUCUAAACACACCUCCCACAAGACUAUAAAGCAACGUUUCUCAAUUGGUGUUCCG